GAUGAACGCUGGCGGCGUGCCUAAUACAUGCCAGUCGAGCGAACAGACGAGGAGCUUGCUCCUUUGACGUUAGCGGCGGACGGGUGAGUAACACGUGGAUAACCUACCUAUAAGACUGGGAUGACUUCGGGAAACCGGAGCUAAUACCGGAUAACAUGUUGAACCGCAUGGUUCAACAGUGAAAGACGGUCUUGCUGUCACUUAUAGAUGGAUCCGCGCCGCAUUAGCUAGUUGGUAAGGUAACGGCUUACCAAGGCAACGAUGCGUAGCCGACCUGAGAGGGUGAUCGGCCACACUGGAACUGAGACACGGUCCAGACUCCUACGGGAGGCAGCAGUAGGGAAUCUUCCGCAAUGGGCGAAAGCCUGACGGAGCAACGCCGCGUGAGUGAAGAAGGUCUUCGGAUCGUAAAACUCUGUUAUUAGGGAAGAACAAAUGUGUAAGUAACUAUGCACGUCUUGACGGUACCUAAUCAGAAAGCCACGGCUAACUACGUG
This 497-nucleotide ribosomal RNA is filed under the name uncultured bacterium. RNAcentral's name for it is "partial 16S ribosomal RNA". It matches the Rfam family "Bacterial small subunit ribosomal RNA", at positions 28 to 507 of the family's 1533-position model. The record is from RNAcentral.